AAUUUUUACUGUGAUAUUUUUUCAAAUCAUCAACGAUCGUUUUACUCUCUUUACAAAUUAUGUUUUGAGACAUUCGCCAUUUUCACAGCGACUAGAUAACUUGUCAAGACUGCUCUUUUUCCCUGUUCACUCUCACAUAUAUAUUUAACUGAAAAGUUCAAUAAAAUUGCAUAUACGAGGAGAACAGCAUUUGAUUUUUGUAUGACAAGAGAAAUGGCCGCAAAUUUUAGUUUUUGUGACAACAUCAUCAAGCUUUUAAUAAGCUUCACAUUUUUUAGAUGCUAUGUCUGGCCAAAUCAUAAUACCUAAACACGAAAGAACAUUUAACAAAAUAAUAG
Molecule: long non-coding RNA, 338 nt
Organism: Daktulosphaira vitifoliae (grape phylloxera)
Lineage: Eukaryota; Metazoa; Arthropoda; Insecta; Hemiptera; Phylloxeridae
Exons: 3
Source: RefSeq, a predicted model, not a curated record